RNAcentral lists this ribosomal RNA (405 nucleotides) under uncultured bacterium. RNAcentral's name for it is "bacterial SSU rRNA". It matches the Rfam family "Bacterial small subunit ribosomal RNA", at positions 355 to 777 of the family's 1533-position model. The record is from RNAcentral.
UGGGGAAUAUUGCACAAUGGGGGAAACCCUGAUGCAGCAACGCCGCGUGAGUGAUGACGGCCUUCGGGUUGUAAAGCUCUGUCUUCAGGGACGAUAAUGACGGUACCUGAGGAGGAAGCCACGGCUAACUACGUGCCAGCAGCCGCGGUAAUACGUAGGUGGCGAGCGUUGUCCGGAUUUACUGGGCGUAAAGGGAGCGUAGGCGGAUUUUUAAGUGAGAUGUGAAAUACUCGGGCUUAACCUGAGUGCUGCAUUUCAAACUGGAAGUCUAGAGUGCAGGAGAGGAGAAGGGAAUUCCUAGUGUAGCGGUGAAAUGCGUAGAGAUUAGGAAGAACACCAGUGGCGAAGGCGCUUCUCUGGACUGUAACUGACGCUGAGGCUCGAAAGCGUGGGGAGCAAACAGGA